UUGGUGAUUAUGGAGGCUGGGAAGCCCCAGGUUCUGCUGUCUGCAAGCCCGCGACCCAGGAAAGCUGGUGGGAGGUGUGGCUCUGAGACCGGAAGGCUGACGGUUGUCUCCUCCUGGGACAUCCGUGUCAGGGUGCACGGACCACAGUGUGGUCUUUCUGUCUGGCCCUGUCCAGCCUGAAGAGGGAGCUUUACUGGAUGUUAAAGAAUUCUUUGGGGUCGAUCUCCUCAAAUACAGCAGAUUGACUUUUCUCAAAAGCGAACGUCAUUGUCCAAUAAAAUACGAAUGCACGUCCCCCAUCAC
Molecule: long non-coding RNA, 303 nt
Organism: Equus caballus (horse)
Lineage: Eukaryota; Metazoa; Chordata; Mammalia; Perissodactyla; Equidae
Source: RefSeq, a predicted model, not a curated record